RNAcentral lists this ribosomal RNA (253 nucleotides) under uncultured bacterium. RNAcentral describes it as "partial 16S ribosomal RNA". It matches the Rfam family "Bacterial small subunit ribosomal RNA", at positions 524 to 776 of the family's 1533-position model. The record is from RNAcentral.
UACGGAGGGUGCAAACGUUGCUCGGAAUCAUUGGGCGUAAAGCGCACGUAGGCGGAUUGUUAAGUCGGGGGUGAAAUCCCGGAGCUCAACUCCAGAACUGCCUUCGAUACUGGCGAUCUCGAGUUCGGGAGAGGUGAGUGGAACUGCGAGUGUAGAGGUGAAAUUCGUAGAUAUUCGCAAGAACACCAGUGGCGAAGGCGGCUCACUGGCCCGAUACUGACGCUGAGGUGCGAAAGCGUGGGGAGCAAACAGG